CCUAGUCAAUAUCCUAUCAAAAAUCAUAAUAGGUUUGUUAUGAUAUCUACAAGGUUUGCUAUGGAGAUUGAUGUAGAUUUAUUUUGAUGCAUAUUAUAUGCUUUACGGCAUAUUUGGAUAUGUUGCUUUGUUGUGAUAUCCACAAGGACAGUAUUUUUCAGAUAUGACUGUAUAGAAAUAAAGGGUCUGACUUAACUAAAAAUACUAUAGUUUGUUGUGAUAUCCAUAAGGCUAUGAGUAUUUUUAGAGACAGAUUAUGUUAAGAGUUGCAUGAGAUGCAAUUGGAUAGAUUUUUCUACCUUUGAACUCAUUGAGAUUUGUUGUGAUAUCCACAAGACUUCAUUGAGGGAUUAGGAUCUCAACACCAUUAAGAAAUCAGAUUAAAAUUUUUCAUUUACUAUAGAAGAGGGCUAUGGUAUCCGAUAAAAUAGUGAGAAACAUAACUAGUUUAAAAGUCUUCAUCUAGUUAUGCAUGUCAAACAUGAGUGGUCUGCUUAUACUAUUGUUCUUUAUUUAUAUAGAUUUAAGUAUACAUUAUAGCUUCUUUAUUUUCAUUGCAUGGAACCAUAAAUAAAAAUAUGUUGACUGAUCGAACUCUGUGGAUUGAUUGAGAAACUUGCAAAUAAGGUUUGUAUCAG
RNAcentral lists this long non-coding RNA (638 nucleotides) under Elaeis guineensis (African oil palm). Its description in RNAcentral is "long non-coding RNA (EGUI_LNC045428)". Lineage: Eukaryota; Viridiplantae; Streptophyta; Magnoliopsida; Arecales; Arecaceae. The record is from RNAcentral.